GAGACCCAGAAGCUUGGAGGAUAGAGGCUCUUUUCUUUAUAUCACUCUCCUUUUCUCAAAGGUUAGACAACUGCAGCCUCACCUCACACUCCUGCUGGGAUCUCUCCACAAUUCUGACCCAUAACCAGAGCCUCCGGAAGCUGAACUUGAGCAACAACGACCUGGGCGAUCUGUGUGUGGUGACGCUCUGUGAGGUUCUGAAACAGCAGGGCUGCCUCCUGCAGAGCCUACAGUUGGGUGAAAUGUAUUUAAAUUGUGAAACAAAACGUACCUUAGAAGCUCUCCAGGAGGAAAAGCCUGAGCUGACUGUUGUUUUUGAGAUUUCUUGGUAGGUGUGGAAGCAGGACUGCCAGGUGCCCCGGUCCCACCCCAAGCCCUACUGUUCUUCAGUGCUGCAAGCCCUCCUUCACCAGCAGGACCAAGCCAGGGCGCUUUUAGUGUAGGGUCUGGAGCAAAGGCCUGUGUGGGAACAAGUAUGCUUUCUCCAGGGAAGACACUGAUAAUACGAAACUACUAGAGGACGCCCUUCCUGUCAGGUCCUCAGUCAGCAAGUUGUUCCCUCUUGGUGACCUGAUGGGACCAUUUUCUAGAAAAUGCAUUUUCUGUCCUUUUCCUCCUCUUCCUCCUCCUCUUCUCCCCCACUUCUCUCUUGUUUUCUUGAUAUGUGUUCAGAGCAUUGCUCUUGUCUUCUUGUUAACUGACCAUACCAUAUAAGUAGCUGGCAAGUUUGUGGCAGCCUCUCAGCUACGUCUUUGCUUUUAUUUUUAUUUUUUUAUUUAUUUAUUUUUUUUUGAUUCUUUUUUUCGGAGCUGGGGACCAAACCCAGGGCCUUGCGCUUCCUAGGUAAGCGCUCUACCACUGAGCUAAAUCCCCAGCCCCUGUUUUUAUUUUUUAAUAGUUAUGAAAACUCAGAGAUUUAUAAGAUGCAUUUUUGUGUUUAUUGUAUGUUUGUACUGCUUUCUUAAUUUAAAAAUGUAUCUAGAAUUCUUUUAAGUUAUUUAUCCAAACUUCUAAAAAUAAAUCACUUUAAAAU
This 1033-nucleotide long non-coding RNA is filed under the name Rattus norvegicus (Norway rat). RNAcentral describes it as "long non-coding RNA NONRATT004344". Lineage: Eukaryota; Metazoa; Chordata; Mammalia; Rodentia; Muridae. The record is from RNAcentral.